GGGGGGGGGGCAAGCGUUGUUCGGAAUUACUGGGCGUAAAGGGCGCGCAGGCGGCCUGGCAAGUCCUACGUGAAAUCCCACAGCUCAACUGUGGAACUGCGUGGGAUACUGCCCAGGCUUGAGUCCGGGAGAGGAGAGUGGAAUUCCCAGUGUAGCGGUGAAAUGCGUAGAUAUUGGGAGGAACACCGGUGGCGAAGGCGGCUCUCUGGACCGGUACUGACGCUGAGGCGCGAAAGCUAGGGGAGCAAACGGGAUUAGAUACCCCGGUAGUCCUAGCCGUAAACUUUGAGCACUUGGUGUGGCGGGUAUCGACCCCUGCCGUGCCGAAGCUAACGCAUUAAGUGCUCCGCCUGGGGAGUACGGUCGCAAGGCUG
Molecule: ribosomal RNA, 374 nt
Filed under: uncultured organism
Description: partial 16S ribosomal RNA
Rfam family: Bacterial small subunit ribosomal RNA
Source: RNAcentral